AGAGUUUGAUCCUGGCUCAGGACGAACGCUGGCGGCGCGCCUAACACAUGCAAGUCGAACGGGAACUGUCCGGAGCUUGCUUCGGACGGUUUCAGUGGCGGACGGGUGAGUAACGCGUGAGGAACCUGCCUUUCAGAGGGGGAUAACGUCCGGAAACGGACGCUAAUACCGCAUGACAUCCCGGGAUCACAUGGUUCUGGGAUCAAAGGAGCAAUCCGCUGGAAGAUGGACUCGCGUCCGAUUAGCCGGUUGGUGAGGUAACGGCCCACCAAAGUUGCGAUCGGUAGCCGGACUGAGAGGUUGAACGGCCACAUUGGGACUGAGACACGGCCCAGACUCCUACGGGGGGCAGCAGUGGGGGAUCUUGCACAAUGGAGGAAACUCUGAUGCAGCGACGCCGCGUGAGGGAAGACGGUUUUCGGAUUGUAAACCUCUGUCCCCGGUGACGAUAAUAACGGUAGCCGAGGAGGAAGCUCCGGCUAACUACGUGCCAGCAGCCGCGGUAAUACGUAGGGAGCGAGCGUUGUCCGGAUCUACUGGGUGUAAAGGGUGCGUAGGCGGCUGAACAAGUCAGGUGUGAAAACCAUCGGCUCAACUGAUGGAUUGCACUUGAAACUGUGCAGCUUGAGUGAAGCAGAGGCAGGCGGAAUUCCCGGUGUAGCGGUGAAAUGCGUAGAGAUCGGGAGGAACACCAGUGGCGAAGGCGGCCUGCUGGGCUUUAACUGACGCUGAGGCACGAAAGCAUGGGUAGCAAACAGGAUUAAGAAUACCCUGGNAGUCCAUGCC
RNAcentral lists this ribosomal RNA (786 nucleotides) under uncultured bacterium. Its description in RNAcentral is "bacterial SSU rRNA". It matches the Rfam family "Bacterial small subunit ribosomal RNA", at positions 8 to 801 of the family's 1533-position model. The record is from RNAcentral.